This 735-nucleotide ribosomal RNA is filed under the name uncultured bacterium. RNAcentral's name for it is "bacterial SSU rRNA". It matches the Rfam family "Bacterial small subunit ribosomal RNA", at positions 66 to 789 of the family's 1533-position model. The record is from RNAcentral.
ACGGUAGCACAGAGGAGCUUGCUCCUUGGGUGACGAGUGCGCGGACGGGUGAGUAAUGUCUGGGAACUGCCCGAUGGAGGGGGAUAACUACUGGAAACGGUAGCUAAUACCGCAUAACGUCGCAAGACCAAAGAGGGGGACCUUCGGGCCUCUUGCCAUCGGAUGUGCCCAGAUGGGAUUAGCUAGUAGGUGGGGUAACGGCUCACCUAGGCGACGAUCCCUAGCUGGUCUGAGAGGAUGACCAGCCACACUGGAACUGAGACACGGUCCAGACUCCUACGGGAGGCAGCAGUGGGGAAUAUUGCACAAUGGGCGCAAGCCUGAUGCAGCCAUGCCGCGUGUAUGAAGAAGGCCUUCGGGUUGUAAAGUACUUUCAGCGAGGAGGAAGGCAUUGUGGUUAAUAACCGCAGUGAUUGACGUUACUCGCAGAAGAAGCACCGGCUAACUCCGUGCCAGCAGCCGCGGUAAUACGGAGGGUGCAAGCGUUAAUCGGAAUUACUGGGCGUAAAGCGCACGCAGGCGGUCUGUCAAGUCGGAUGUGAAAUCCCCGGGCUCAACCUGGGAACUGCAUCCGAAACUGGCACGCUAGAGUCUUGUAGAGGGGGGGUAGAAUUCCAGGUGUAGCGGUGAAAUGCGUAGAGAUCUGGAGGAAUACCGGUGGCGAAGGCGGCCCCCUGGACAAAGACUGACGCUCAGUGCGAAAGCGGUGGGGGAGCAAACAGAUUAGAUACCCUG